CUUAUCAGCUCAUUUGGUGAGAUCAGAAUGUGCCUGAAUAACUCUGAAGGUUAAAAUAUGUUGACUGAAUUUUCUGCUGCCACCAUUCAGCAGCAGCUAGGCUAUGCCUCUCAUGAUCAUGACACGUAGUGGAAAUUUUCCUGGCUUCUAUACAUCAUCAUCUCUGCCUGAUUGGUUUGCCAUGGCUCUUUGAAACAGUUACUCUUGUCCUCAUUGUAGAGAUGGCGAUACUAAGGCAGAAUAUGGCUAGCCUGGACUUCUUUUUGUGGAGACUGGAUUCCAAGAUUGAAAGUAGAAGCUACAUGUUUUCUCCAAGCAGGGCUUUCAGACUUCACUUCUGCAACAUUUUAUUGAUGAAAGCAAGUCACAAGACCAGACUGAUUCAAGGGGUGGAGAAAUAGACCCUACUUCUUGAUGGAGGGAGGAGUAGAGUUACAUUGCAAAGGGAUCUGGACAAAAAAAGGAGUGAUUUAUUAGGAAUCAUGUUUAACAAUUUACCACAAUCCCCAGCGCAACUGCCUGUUAGCUGGAUCCAGAAAUGUCUACGACUACUGCAAUGCCACUUGGCCUUAGGGGUGAUGUGACCCAGUGUAAAGAGAUGGUGGUCUUAACCAAUCACAGUUAAGAUAGUUUAGUUUUGGAAGGUAUAAAAAAUAUGUAACAACAUGAAUGCACUUUUAGGGUCAGACAAGAGACUUGGAAAGAGCCUGCAAAAUGGAGGAGCCCUGAGGCCUAAGUCUCAUGAGUGUCAAUGCUUACCUGUAUCUAGACACUGGCAUCCCCCUUUUGAUAAGGCCAAGAUUGAUUGUUUUCCUUUUCUACCUACCCUAUAUCUAAUCCAUGUACAAACACUGUUGACACACAAAAGAACCCUAAAUUCAACAAUCUGUGAAGAAUUUUUGCACUAACAUGUUAGUUCAAAAACUCAACAUUGCUUGCUAAGACUAUUGCAAUAAACUCCUCUAUGAUCCCCUAAUUUGAUUCUUGCUCCUCUUAUUUUUUACACAGUCAUCAGAGUAAAUCUUUUCAAAGGUAAAUUGGAUUUUAUGACUUUUCUGCUUCUAAUUAGUUUCAUCUAUACAUUAAAAUAUAUUUCCAAACUAUUCUACACUGGUCUGUCACUGGCCACCUCCAGAAUGUGAUUUUCAACCAUUUUCUCUAUUUUGCUCUCUAUAUCCCUUUCUCUCUGCUCUAUUUUUAUUAUUUUUAACCACUGCUAGAAUAUAAGAUCCAACUUAAGAAGAGAGAUUUUUGUCUAUCAGCUUAUUCCCUGGGCUUAGCCUAGCACAAGGUAGUGGCACAAUAAGCAUUUAUUAAAUAACUAGAUAUUAUAUAAUUAAAAUUUAGCAACAAAUUCUAUAAGAUAUAUAUUAUCAUUCAAUUUGAGUGAAGAAGUUCUGAUGAAAUAAUCAAAAUCACUUUAAGCAUACGAAAGAGUUAAGGCCCAGACAUUAUUC
Molecule: long non-coding RNA, 1457 nt
Filed under: Homo sapiens (human)
Lineage: Eukaryota; Metazoa; Chordata; Mammalia; Primates; Hominidae
Description: HSALNT0337435
Source: RNAcentral